This 492-nucleotide ribosomal RNA is filed under the name uncultured bacterium. Its description in RNAcentral is "partial 16S ribosomal RNA". It matches the Rfam family "Bacterial small subunit ribosomal RNA", at positions 29 to 507 of the family's 1533-position model. The record is from RNAcentral.
AGUGAACGCUGGCGGUAGGCCUAACACAUGCAAGUCGAACGGCAGCACAGUAAGAGCUUGCUCUUACGGGUGGCGAGUGGCGGACGGGUGAGGAAUACAUCGGAAUCUAUUUUUUCGUGGGGGAUAACGUAGGGAAACUUACGCUAAUACCGCAUACGACCUACGGGUGAAAGCAGGGGAUCUUCGGACCUUGCGCGAUUGAAGGAGCCGAUGUCGGAUUAGCUAGUUGGCGGGGUAAAGGCCCACCAAGGCGACGAUCCGUAGCUGGUCUGAGAGGAUGAUCAGCCACACUGGAACUGAGACACGGUCCAGACUCCUACGGGAGGCAGCAGUGGGGAAUAUUGGACAAUGGGCGCAAGCCUGAUCCAGCCAUACCGCGUGGGUGAAGAAGGCCUUCGGGUUGUAAAGCCCUUUUGUUGGGAAAGAAAAGCAGCAGGUUAAUACCCCGCUGUUCUGACGGUACCCAAAGAAUAAGCACCGGCUAACUUCGUG